AAGAGUAAUUUUUAAAGUCUUCCAUUGAAAGUUCCAUAUAUUUUAAACACAAAAAGAAAUAGCCUAGCAUACAAACAUUCUAGGGAUUCCCAAAUAAUUUCUCUAAUAGCAGAGAUCUCUGAUGUGCAAGUGGCCAGCGUGUUCCCAAAAUAUAAGCACUUCUAAUCUUGGCAAACUUGUCCUUGAGAUGCCAAUGUUGACUGGUGACUAUCCACAGGCAGGGCUAGAAAAGGGAGUGGAACAUUUUACUUAGGCAGGAAGCACUGAAGAGAAGAAUCUUUUUUUCAGUAGACAUUUGUGGGAAAUAAAAAUUUGUUUAGAAGAAUUUAGGCCAAGAGAUAAAAUGGUCUUCUUUUGACUGAGGAGAGAUAAGAUAGAUUUUAAGCAGACAUCUGAAGUUAAAGGUGAGAGAAGGAAGAUAAACUGGGUGAUUUUGCUCACCUAAGAAGGUACACAGAUCCAAAGAAAAAGAGAUUCGAGAGGUGUCUCCAGCUUCUGAUUUUGAUGACAUCUCCCAGAGAGGACCGUGUUGCCAUCACCAUCCCAGAGUCUGAAAGUGUCCAGUUAUUCCUACAGAUGGAAGGGUGCACUUUCCUGCCCCUUGACUUUGGAAUCAGCGAAAGAGAUAUUAGCAAAAGUGGUAUGAUGAAACUGACACUCCAUAUGUGCUUUAUGGAGUUGUGUUUUCCUGAUUCUUCAUGGUCCAUGUAGAUGUGUUGAUGUCUGUGCAACUGAAGGAACAAUCACCUCUUCCAGUAUUUAUAGACUGCUUUUUGCAGGUCUGCAGGCCUGCCUCUGUGAGUACAGAUGGGUUUGUCUCCAGUGUGUGGGUACACCUGCCUGUGGACUGAGCUGAUCAGGGUUGAAGCUAGGUCACAGAGAUGCUUCAGGAGUUGAAGUUGGAACUGCAGUCAGCCAGCCUGUUACCCAAGAGACAAGCAGAAUACAUUAUCUUUUGUUUUAUGCUGAAGUAGAGUGCAGCAAGCAAAAAGCAGCAAAAGACACAUAAUCAAAGUACUUGGAAUGCUGACUGUAAAAUUAUGCUGAGAACUGGCUGCAUGAUAAGAUGCUUUUCCUUCCUCUUUGUUAUUUGUAUUAUUUUGUAAAGAUAGGCCAGUGUGAGUAUGUCCAAAUAAGCUAAUAAUCUAUUUCCCUUAAAAUUUCAGCAAAUAUUCAAGAGAAUAAAAAUGUAAGUUAUUGUCCACACAGCUAAUGUUAAUUUUUCAUUAACAUAAUUUAAGUCUCGGUGAUAGUUUGAAAAUGUUCAUAAUGUUCAUUAUCUAAUAAAAUAGAUAAUUGUGGAAUUAUCUAACUCGUAGAAGAUUAAUUGUGGAAGAGUUGUUUGUAUAUUUGUAACUGUCUCGUUUUUAGUAAAACCAAUUUUUUUUUCUGAGUUAAAAUAUUAAACAAUGAAAAAGUAAACUCAAUAAAUGUAAUUCAGUGCCUUGCAUAAUAGAAAAAUGUUAACAAGGUAAAAGCUGUUAAAAUUGGGAUGGUUUCAAAUUUUAAUGUGAAAAUUUCUGUGAUAAUUUAAUCUGCUAAUAUAAUGUUUAACUCUAGAUCUCUUUCUUGUGACAUGGCUCGAUGCAAUUUAGGUUGCUGUCAUUAAAAUUCUACAAGCACAUCAUACAGGCCUAUCUGCAGUGUACCCAUUUCUGCUCUACCUAUGUACAUACCUAAACCUGAAAACAGGGU
Molecule: long non-coding RNA, 1695 nt
Filed under: Homo sapiens (human)
Lineage: Eukaryota; Metazoa; Chordata; Mammalia; Primates; Hominidae
Description: HSALNT0394878
Source: RNAcentral